CCAGCUCCAAUAGCGUAUAUUAAAGUUGUUGCAGUUAAAAAGCUCGUAGUUGGAUUUCUGGGAGAGUGCCAAUGUCGUCUUGUUGACUGUGCAGCGGCGCUCUUCCAUCCUUCUGUUAACGUUUCUGAUAUUCAUUUAUUGGUCUCGGGCUCAGAUAUUUUACCUUGAGAAAAUUAGAGUGUUCCAGGCAGGCUCGCGCCGGAAUACAUUAGCAUGGAAUAAUAGAAUAGGACUUUAGUCUCCUUUGUUGGUUUGAGGGACUGAAGUAAUGAUUAAUAGGGAUAGUUGGGGGCAUUAGUAUUUAAUUGUCAGAGGUGAAAUUCUCGGAUUUGUUAAAGACUAACUUAUGCGAAAGCAUUUGCCAAGGAUGUUUUCA
RNAcentral lists this ribosomal RNA (376 nucleotides) under uncultured Oxytrichidae. Its description in RNAcentral is "SSU rRNA". It matches the Rfam family "Eukaryotic small subunit ribosomal RNA", at positions 585 to 972 of the family's 1831-position model. The record is from RNAcentral. Lineage: Eukaryota; Ciliophora; Spirotrichea; Sporadotrichida; Oxytrichidae.